RNAcentral lists this non-coding RNA (26 nucleotides) under Arabidopsis thaliana (thale cress). Lineage: Eukaryota; Viridiplantae; Streptophyta; Magnoliopsida; Brassicales; Brassicaceae. The record is from RNAcentral. RNAcentral also lists the same sequence under 6 other names.
AACCACAGCCAAGGGAACGGGCUUGG